GGGGAAUUUUGGACAAUGGGGGCAACCCUGAUCCAGCCAUGCCGCGUGAGUGAAGAAGGCCUUCGGGUUGUAAAGCUCUUUCGGCCGGGAAGAAAUCGCACGGGCUAAUACCUUGUGUGGAUGACGGUACCGGAAUAAGAAGCACCGGCUAACUACGUGCCAGCAGCCGCGGUAAUACGGAGGGUGCGAGCGUUAAUCGGAAUUACUGGGCGUAAAGCGUGCGCAGGCGGUUUUUUAAGACAGGCGUGAAAUCCCCGGGCUUAACCUGGGAACUGCGCUUGUGACUGGAAGGCUAGAGUACGGCAGAGGGGGGUGGAAUUCCACGUGUAGCAGUGAAAUGCGUAGAGAUGUGGAGGAACACCGAUGGCGAAGGCAGCCCCCUGGGCCGAUACUGACGCUCAUGCACGAAAGCGUGGGGAGCAAAC
RNAcentral lists this ribosomal RNA (425 nucleotides) under uncultured bacterium. Its description in RNAcentral is "bacterial SSU rRNA". It matches the Rfam family "Bacterial small subunit ribosomal RNA", at positions 356 to 773 of the family's 1533-position model. The record is from RNAcentral.